Molecule: signal recognition particle RNA, 128 nt
Filed under: Mycobacterium tuberculosis H37Rv
Lineage: Bacteria; Bacillati; Actinomycetota; Actinomycetes; Mycobacteriales; Mycobacteriaceae
Also listed under: 3 other names
Description: Possible 4.5S RNA in signal recognition particle (small cytoplasmic RNA) (SC-RNA)
Rfam family: Bacterial small signal recognition particle RNA (bases 1-93)
About the family: The signal recognition particle (SRP) is a universally conserved ribonucleoprotein involved in the co-translational targeting of proteins to membranes. Archaeal SRP consists of a 7S RNA and homologues of the eukaryotic SRP19 and SRP54 proteins. In most bacteria, the SRP consists of a 4.5S RNA and the Ffh protein (a homologue of the eukaryotic SRP54 protein).
Source: RNAcentral
GGACCCCGCGCGGCGUCUAUCCUGUGAACUCCCCCAGGGCUGGAAGGCAGCAAGGGUCAACGGGCUCUGUCGGGUGCGCGGGGUCCCCUUCAGCCGGGGCACUGACUGGACCUCGGUAUACCCACGGU